Molecule: transfer RNA, 73 nt
Filed under: Actinomycetota bacterium
Lineage: Bacteria; Bacillati; Actinomycetota
Description: tRNA-Thr
Rfam family: tRNA
About the family: Transfer RNA (tRNA) molecules are approximately 80 nucleotides in length. Their secondary structure includes four short double-helical elements and three loops (D, anti-codon, and T loops). Further hydrogen bonds mediate the characteristic L-shaped molecular structure. tRNAs have two regions of fundamental functional importance: the anti-codon, which is responsible for specific mRNA codon recognition, and the 3' end, to which the tRNAs corresponding amino acid is attached (by aminoacyl-tRNA synthetases). tRNAs cope with the degeneracy of the genetic code in two manners: having more than one tRNA (with a specific anti-codon) for a particular amino acid; and 'wobble' base-pairing, i.e. permitting non-standard base-pairing at the 3rd anti-codon position.
Source: RNAcentral
GCCGGCGAGGUCCGAAAGGUCGGACGCUCGCCUCGUAAGCGAGAGGGAGCGGGUUCGAUCCCCGCCGCCGGCU